Molecule: small RNA, 628 nt
Filed under: Pan troglodytes (chimpanzee)
Lineage: Eukaryota; Metazoa; Chordata; Mammalia; Primates; Hominidae
Description: retained intron
Source: RNAcentral
GUGCUGAUUUUUGCUUGCCUGGUGCCUGGUUUCCCAGCAGUCAUGUCAUCCAGGGGCCCUUGCACACUGGAGACACUCAUCAAUCCCAGCCCUAGUGUAGCUGAUGUAAAGAUAUAUCCAGAAGAAAUCACUCCACUCCUGCCAGCCAUAUCAGGGGAGAAGAUUGCUGAGGACCAAACCUGCUUUUUUCUUCAAAUACUGUUGAAGUAUAUGGUUAUUCAGGCUGCGAGCUUGGAGUGGAAGAAUAAGGAGAAUCAAGAUACUGGUUUUAAAUUUCUUUUUACAUUGUUUCGAAAGUAUUAUCUUCCUCAUUUAUUUCCAUCAUUUACUAAGUUAACAAACAUCUACAAACCUGUACUUGACAUCCCCCAUUUGAGACCAAAGCCUGUGUACAUUACUACAACUCGAGACAAUGAGAACAUUUACAGUACAAAAAUUCCAUAUAUGGCAGCUCGUGUUGUUUUUAUUAAGUGGAUUGUAACCUUCUUUUUGGAAAAAAAGUAUCUAACUGCAACACAAAACACUAAAAAUGGAGUUGAUGUAUUGCCUAAAAUCAUCCAGGUAUGCCAUUCAUCAUCUUUUUAUCUGUUAAUGCUUGUGUAAUAAAAUACACUGGAACAUAGCCAAA